GGAGGAAAGUAGGGGAUCGUAAGACCUUGUGCUUUUGGAGCGGCCGAUGCCUGAUUAGCUAGUUGGUGGGGUAAAGGCUUACCAAGGCAACGAUCAGUAGUUGGUCUAAGAGGACGACCAGCCACACUGGGACUGAGACACGGCCCAGACUCCUACGGGAGGCAGCAGUGGGGAAUUUUGGACAAUGGGCGAAAGCCUGAUCCAGCAAUGCCGCGUGAGUGAAGAAGGCCUUCGGGUUGUAAAGCUCUUUCAGUCGAGAAGAAAAGGUUGUGACUAAUAAUCACAACUCAUGACGGUACCGACAGAAGAAGCACCGGCUAACUACGUGCCAGCAGCCGCGGUAAUUAGGGUGCAAGCGUUAAUCGGAAUUACUGGGCGUAAAGGGUGCGCAGGCGGCUUUGUAAGUCAGAUGUGAAAUCCCCGGGCUUAACCUGGGAAUUGCGUUUGAAACUACAAAGCUAG
RNAcentral lists this ribosomal RNA (462 nucleotides) under uncultured bacterium. Its description in RNAcentral is "bacterial SSU rRNA". It matches the Rfam family "Bacterial small subunit ribosomal RNA", at positions 198 to 644 of the family's 1533-position model. The record is from RNAcentral.